AAUUCAUUGACCCUAGCAAGACUACCAAAAGCGAAAGCAUUCGGCUAGGCUAUACUCUUUGUGAAUGUAUAUGUACCAUACUACUACUACCACCACACACAAACAUACAUAGUACGUAUGUACNUACUACACAACACUUUACAAUGAAGAACGAAGGUUGGGGGAUCAAAGAGGAUCAGAUACCCUCGUCGUCCCAUUAAAUACAUCAAACGAUGGGCUCUCAAUUGCAUUUUUUUCAACGGAUUGCAAAUUUCCUCAGCCUACAAAAUAACUGGGCUUGAGCUAGUGUGAUUUUUAAUGACACGCUCGCCUAUAUUUUUUUCGUAUGGUCUCGAUGUGACGUUUCGUCUGUAUUAUAAUAUUUGCGUGUAAGCAUUAUGUCAUUCUUUGAAAUAUUUAAGAAUGCAUAGCGUGCACUUGAUUUUCGGAGCUUUGCGCUCAAUUCUGGUGAGAUGUAAGCACUAUGUCUUUUUGCCGGCAGUGUAUGUGUCUUAUUACGUUGUUUUAAGCUAUACUAACACUCUGUGUCUGUACUGCUAUUAAUAACACAAGCACAUUUCAUCUGUUGUUUGUGUGAAUUGACAAUUUCGGUGUGAAGCACGCAUUAGGCACGCGCUUACUGCAGAAAUGUCUGAGACACUCUCCUCCGGGGGUAGUAUGCACGCAAGUGUGAAACUUGAAGGAAUUGACGGAAGGGCACCACAAGAACGCGUGGAGCAUGUGGCUUAAUUU
RNAcentral lists this ribosomal RNA (732 nucleotides) under Globobulimina sp. M482. Its description in RNAcentral is "bacterial SSU rRNA". It matches the Rfam family "Eukaryotic small subunit ribosomal RNA", at positions 915 to 1196 of the family's 1831-position model. Lineage: Eukaryota; Foraminifera; Rotaliida; Buliminidae. The record is from RNAcentral.